GACGAACGCUGGCGGCGUGCUUAACACAUGCGAGUCGAACGGAAAGGCCCUGCUUUUGUGGGGUGCUCGAGUGGCGAACGGGUGAGUAACACGUGAGUAACCUGCCCUUGACUUUGGGAUAACUUCAGGAAACUGGGGCUAAUACCGGAUAGGAGCUCCUGCUGCAUGGUGGGGGUUGGAAAGUUUCGUCGGUUGGUGAUGGACUCGCGGCUUAUCAGCUUGUUGGUGGGGGAGUGGCUCACCAAGGCUUUGACGGGUAGCCGGCCUGAGAGGGUGACCGGCCACAUGGGAAUGGGGUAGGGGCCAGGACUCUAAGGGGGGGAAGAGUGGGGAAUAUUGCACAAUGGGCGGAAGCCUGAUGCAGCAACGCCGCGUGCGGGAUGACGGCCUUCGGGUUGUAAACCGCUUUCGCCUGUGACGAAGCGUGAGUGACGGUAAUGGGUAAAGAAGCACCGGCUAACUACGUG
This 467-nucleotide ribosomal RNA is filed under the name uncultured bacterium. Its description in RNAcentral is "partial 16S ribosomal RNA". It matches the Rfam family "Bacterial small subunit ribosomal RNA", at positions 28 to 507 of the family's 1533-position model. The record is from RNAcentral.